UACGGGGGGGGCAAGCGUUGUUCGGAAUUACUGGGCGUAAAGGGCUCGUAGGCGGCCAACUAAGUCAGACGUGAAAUCCCUCAGCUCAACUGGGGAACUGCGUCUGAGACUGGCCGGCUUGAGUGCAGGAGAGGAACGCGGAAUUCCAGGUGUAGCGGUGAAAUGCGUAGAUAUCUGGAGGAACACCGGUGGCGAAGGCGGCGUUCUGGACUGCAACUGACACUGAGGAACGAAAGCCAGGGGAGCAAACGGG
RNAcentral lists this ribosomal RNA (253 nucleotides) under uncultured bacterium. Its description in RNAcentral is "partial 16S ribosomal RNA". It matches the Rfam family "Bacterial small subunit ribosomal RNA", at positions 524 to 776 of the family's 1533-position model. The record is from RNAcentral.